RNAcentral lists this ribosomal RNA (441 nucleotides) under uncultured bacterium. Its description in RNAcentral is "partial 16S ribosomal RNA". It matches the Rfam family "Bacterial small subunit ribosomal RNA", at positions 338 to 795 of the family's 1533-position model. The record is from RNAcentral.
CCUACGGGUGGCAGCAGUGGGGAAUAUUGCACAAUGGGCGAAAGCCUGAUGCAGCAACGCCGCGUGAAGGAAGAAGGCCUUCGGGUCGUAAACUUCUGUCCUUGGGGAAGAAGAACUGACGGUACCCAAGGAGGAAGCCCCGGCUAACUCCGUGCCAGCAGCCGCGGUAAUACGGAGGAUGCGAGCGUUAUCCGGAUUUAUUGGGUUUAAAGGGUGCGUAGGCGGACUGUUAAGUCAGCGGUAAAAGCCCGGGGCUCAACCCCGGCGAGCCGUUGAAACUGGCUGUCUUGAGAUGUCGAGGGGUAUGCGGAAGGCGCAGUGUAGCGGUGAAAUGCUUAGAUAUUGCGCAGAACUCCGAUUGCGAAGGCAGCAUACCGGCGGCGAUCUGACGCUGAGGCACGAAAGCGUGGGUAUCGAACAGGAUUAGAUACCCCAGUAGUC